Molecule: ribosomal RNA, 253 nt
Filed under: uncultured bacterium
Lineage: Bacteria
Also listed under: 1 other name
Description: partial 16S ribosomal RNA
Rfam family: Bacterial small subunit ribosomal RNA
Source: RNAcentral
UACGAAGGGUGCAAGCGUUACUCGGAAUUACUGGGCGUAAAGCGUGCGUAGGUGGUCGUUUAAGUCCGUUGUGAAAGCCCUGGGCUCAACCUGGGAACUGCAGUGGAUACUGGACGACUAGAGUGUGGUAGAGGGUAGCGGAAUUCCUGGUGUAGCAGUGAAAUGCGUAGAGAUCAGGAGGAACAUCCAUGGCGAAGGCAGCUACCUGGACCAACACUGACACUGAGGCACGAAAGCGUGGGGAGCAAACAGG